RNAcentral lists this ribosomal RNA (303 nucleotides) under uncultured bacterium. RNAcentral's name for it is "partial 16S ribosomal RNA". It matches the Rfam family "Bacterial small subunit ribosomal RNA", at positions 507 to 807 of the family's 1533-position model. The record is from RNAcentral.
AGCAGUCGCCGCGGUAAUACAGAGGGUGCGAGCGUUAAUCGGAUUUACUGGGCGUAAAGCGUGCGUAGGCGGCUUCUUAAGUCGGAUGUGAGAUCCCUGAGCUUAACUUAGGAAUUGCAUUCGAUACUGGGAAGCUAGAGUAUGGGAGAGGAUGGUAGAAUUCCAGGUGUAGCGGUGAAAUGCGUAGAGAUCUGGAGGAAUACCGAUGGCGAAGGCAGCCAUCUGGCCUAAUACUGACGCUGAGGUACGAAAGCAUGGGGAGCAAACAGGAUUAGAUACCCGUGUAGUCCCUGUCUCUUAUAC